UACGGAAGGCAGCAGUGGGGAAUAUUGCACAAUGGGCGAAAGCCUGAUGCAGCUAUGCCGCGUGUAUGAAGAAGGCCUUAGGGUUGUAAAGUACUUUCAUCGGGGAGGAAAAAACAAAACUAAUAAUUUUAUUUCUUGACGUUACCCGAAAAAGAAGCACCGGCUAACUCCGUGCCAGCAGCCGCGGUAAUACGGAGGGUGCUAGCGUUAAUCAGAAUUACUGGGCGUAAAGAGCACGUAGGUUGGUUUUUUUAAGUCAGAUGUGAAAUCCCUGGGCUUAACCUAGGAACUGCAUUUUGAAACUGAAAUACUAGAGUAUCGUAGAGGGAGGUAGAAUUCUAGGUGUAGGCGGUGAAAUGCGUAGAUAUCUGGAGGAAUACCUGUGGCGAAAGCGGCCUCCUAAACGAAUACUGACACUGAGGGUGCGAAAGCGUGGGGAGCAAACGAGGAUUAGAUACC
Molecule: ribosomal RNA, 459 nt
Filed under: uncultured bacterium
Lineage: Bacteria
Description: bacterial SSU rRNA
Rfam family: Bacterial small subunit ribosomal RNA
Source: RNAcentral